Molecule: long non-coding RNA, 536 nt
Filed under: Androctonus crassicauda
Lineage: Eukaryota; Metazoa; Arthropoda; Arachnida; Scorpiones; Buthidae
Source: RNAcentral
UCUCGGGACUGAAAGGUGCCGCAGUGGAAAGAAGCUUCUGCUUGCUUCUCUGGUUGCUUCCGAAAGGAUCGAGCUGAUGUUUAAGAAGAGAGAAAGAGAGACAGACAGACGCAGGACGCUCAGGGCAGUAGCUCACUUUGCAUACAAUAAAGCAAAGGCUGGAUUAACACGCCCUUCCGGUCACGUUAGUUGAAUUUUUUGCUCAGGAAUCAUGCUGUCUGCAGUUCCACACAAGGACGUGAUCAGAGAUACCAGCUCUUGUGAAGCAGCUGCCAGCUGCCGACACGGUUUCCGUAGUCAUCGCACCAAGGAUGAUGUGAGUUCUUCGGGAGGGCGGUGGAGGAGUUAGGAUGUGCUAGGGUGAUUGAGCACACCGCACUGUGCGCCAGCGCGCGGGAUGCGUGUGUGCACUGUGCAUGGAGCAGUGACGGUCUCUUCAAGCAUCCCGAAAAGUACCUUUGGGCCCAACACUUGCAGUUGCCUUCCUGACGCACAGAGCACAGACACGGAGCCCAGUGUCAGGAGGUCAAAGAUAC